UUUAUAUAAAAAGAAGAAAGAUGUAAAACGCAUAAUACAAGUUUCCACAUUAGGAAACUAGAAAAAGAUGACAAAAGUAAGGCCAUAGCAAGUAGAAGAAAAUAAAUAAUAAUGCCUAGAGCAGACAUUUGUGAGAUUGGAAACAGGAAAUUAAUGGAAAAAAUAAAUGGAGACAAAAAUUAUUUCUUUAAAAAGAUCGGUAAAAUGUAUAAGGCUCUAACAAGAUUCAGUAAGACGAGAGUAGGGCACAGUCUGCUAACUUGAGAAAAUAAAGUGUCACAAGUUCCAUAUAAUUGUAAAGGAUUACAGAAGAAGAAAGAGAAGGAGAAGAAACUAUAAACAAGUCUGUCCACAAAUUGGAUAAUCCUGAAAUGAACCAAUUCCUUGAAAAAUACAAUAUGUUCAAUCUCACAAACAAUUCCUCUUCUGGGUACAUAUCCAAAUGGAUGAAAUCACUGUAUCUGUUCCCCAUGUUCACUGCAUCAUUAUUUACAACAGUCAAUACAUGGAAUCAACCUAAGUGUUCAUUUAUGGAUAGUUGGAUAAAUACUGUAUGAUUUCACUUAAUGUGGAAUGCCAAAAAACCCAAACUCGUAAACAGAGAAAAUAUUGGUGGUUGCCAGGGGUAUUGACUAGGGUAUUGAUUAGGAUCUUUAUAGUUGAAAUGUUUAGUAAAAUAAUGCCCUAACAAGUUUUGAACAGAUACAAAUAGUUUACUGUUCACAACUUUGAAAAUGCCAAAAAAUAUAAGAAAACAUAGAAACAAUUUUCCAUUUUGUACCCACUGAUAUUGCCACUUGUCAUAGUUUUUCAAAUACUCUAGGGGUAUUGACUAGGGGUGGGAAAAAUGGAUGGUAAUGGUCAGAAGGUACAAGUCAUAAGAUAGAUAAGUUCUGGGGAUUUAAUGAACAGCACGGUGACUAUCGUUGGCAGUGGUUUAGUGUAUACUGAAGAGCUGAUAAACAUGCUCUUAAAAGUUCACGUCCCAAGGAAAAAACAAUUGUAACUAUAUGAGGUGAGGAUGGUUAACUAAAUCUAUUGCAGUAAUCAUUAUGCAAUGUGCGCAUAUAUGAAAUCAUUAAGAUAAAUAAACAAUGAUGUGCUAUGUAAAUUACACCUCAAUAAAAUUGGCCAAAAUGCAGAGCUUAUAUCCAUUACAUCUCAUAGAACUUUUCAAAAAUGAAAGAAACGACAAAUAAUAUCAAGUAGAGAGAGUAAGAGUUAUGCAUGUGGGAAGACCUAAUGUUUAACUUUAUUAUUCACAGUUUAGCUUUGGUUUGACUCAUAUGUUCAUAGGUCCUUUUCAUGUUAGUAAAAAUAAUAAAAUGAUUAGAUAAUAUCAGGGCAGAAUGAUACAAUAAUGAGCGUUUUAAAACCAUGGCUGUAAUGUUUAAUCUGAUUCUCUACAACUUUUCUCCCCAAAGUUACAAAUGAUAAUAAAAUUUUUCCAAAGUCUAUUCAAAUGGUGUUGAAACUUCACAGUGAAUGACAUCGACAAAUUAAUUUCUAUGAUAUCUUGAAGUAGAAGACCUGUGCAUUUCUCUGUGCAUUCAGACAUGGAACUUGACAACCUAUUCUGCACAGGGGAACUGGUAAUGCCUUGACUUUAGGAAAAGGUGGACAGUUGCUAGUCUUCUGUUUCCUUUUUUUUUUCUUCCUUGUGGCAAAGGGUGGAGUGAUGUGUGAAUAUGUGAUGUUCUUCUGAGGUUUCUGGCAUGUAUCACACCUCUGACCAUGAUCUCAACUGGAAAACUCGAGCCAAUUAUAUUCCCAUAGGUGUUAGCGGACCUUAAAUCAUGGUUUGGUAAUGUGUUUAAAGCUAUAAUUUUAAUAGUCCUGAAAUACUCAGGUUUUUUGCUAGGAAGAUAAUGAUAUAAAGCUAAGAGCUAUGGAUUCUUUAAAACAGAUGUUGGUAGAUGGCUUUUCUCAUUACACAAUUACAGACAGAAAAGUCACAUAGAUUACAACCUGGAGGAUGGUCUUGGAGUCGUACAAUCAUUCUGUUCUCAAUGGUUAGAGAAAAACGUAAGAUGUCAGAAAUCAGUGUGUAAUCCUUUAUGUUCAUUCCAGAAUUUUUUUAUAGGGGUAAAUUGUUGGUUAUUCAAGAGAUCACUAUAUAACUUUUCCAACUGUAUGAGUCUUUAUAGUUGAAAUGUUUAGUAAAAUAAUUUCCUAACAAGUUUUGAACAGAUACAAAUAGUUUACUGUUCACAACUUUGAAAAUGCCAAAAAUAUAAGAAAACAUAGAAACAAUUUUCAUUUUGUACCCAUCCAUAUUGCCAUGUCUCAUAGUUUUGCAAAUUCUCUGUGCUUGUGUCACAGGUCACAACCUCAGGAGAUUGUUUAAGCAUGAUAUGAAACCACUGCCACCCAUGGAGGGCCUGGAAAGAUCUUAGAAUAUUGGUAGGUGGCAUUUUUAAUAAUGAAUGGUACGUACUUAACAAAACUUUGUCUUGGUCAGCUAUAAGACAAGGGGUUUUCUGAAAAGUUAAUGUAAUCACCGAAACUGAAAAGUUUAUGUCAUCACCUGUAUUGUCUAAAUUGUCUAAACAUUUUUCUUUUUCAGUCAUAUGUCCUUGGGCAGCUUCUAGGAGCAAGGAAGGCAAACAGAGUGUAUACUGAUGGGAGAAGAGACGGUGGUACUAGAAGACACUUACAAGCUAAGAAAUAUCUGGAGGAUAUGGAGAGAUAAAUCACUGCACCUUCCAAGAUGAUUCUGAACAACCACACAAACUAUUCUUUAAUGCCCAGAAAUGUAUGGCUUCUUCUACUUAAUCCAUUUCUUCUAUACAACGUGAAGAAAACAAGUGCAAAGGAUAGACUAAGGUCAUGGACUACAGGUGCUUUGCUGGUAGGUUAACUAUGGCGACCACACUUGAGGGGAGAAAUCCUACACUAACAAAGAACUAACAAGGAUGUACAACAAUGUACUUUAUUUUUAAAAUAUAGAAAUACAGAGAAAAAAUAAGUGCACAAUUGCAGAUGUGUUCAUUGAGAGAUUGCAGAGCAGCAGCAAUGGCGCCACAUUGUGGCAGCGGGUCAUUUUUCUGCUAGCAAAGUUAUCUCUCAGAAUUGAGUU
This is a long non-coding RNA of Talpa occidentalis (Iberian mole), 3079 nucleotides long. RefSeq lists it as uncharacterized. Lineage: Eukaryota; Metazoa; Chordata; Mammalia; Eulipotyphla; Talpidae. The record is from RefSeq and is a predicted model, not a curated record. The transcript is spliced from 3 exons.